RNAcentral lists this transfer RNA (72 nucleotides) under Camelus bactrianus (Bactrian camel). It matches the Rfam family "tRNA". Rfam says of the family: Transfer RNA (tRNA) molecules are approximately 80 nucleotides in length. Their secondary structure includes four short double-helical elements and three loops (D, anti-codon, and T loops). RNAcentral also lists the same sequence under 2 other names. The record is from Rfam by way of RNAcentral. Lineage: Eukaryota; Metazoa; Chordata; Mammalia; Artiodactyla; Camelidae.
GAGGGUAUAGCUCAGUGGUAGAGCACAUGGUUAGCAUGCAUGAAGUCCUGGGUUCAAUCCCCAGUACUGCUG